RNAcentral lists this ribosomal RNA (643 nucleotides) under uncultured fungus. RNAcentral describes it as "LSU rRNA". It matches the Rfam family "Eukaryotic large subunit ribosomal RNA", at positions 24 to 664 of the family's 3401-position model. Lineage: Eukaryota; Fungi. The record is from RNAcentral.
CCCGCUGAACUUAAGCAUAUCAGUAAGCGGAGGAAAAGAAACUAACAAGGAUUCCUUUAGUAACGGCGAGUGAACCGGGAAAAGCUCAAAUUUAAAAUCUGUCAUCAAUUUUGGUGACCGAAUUGUAUUUGAUAGGGUCUUCUUUCAGGGGCAGACCAUGGCCAAAGUUCUCUGGAAAGGGACAACAAAGAGGGUGACAUUCCCGUCUGGGUCAUGGUGCAACCACUGGUACAUAGAAGGCCCAAAGAGUCGGAUUGUUUGGGAAUGCAGUCCAAAAUGGGUGGUACAUUUCAUCUAAAGCUAAAUAUAGGCAAGAGACCGAUAGCGCACAAGUACCGUGAGGGAAAGAUGAAAAGAACUUUGAAAAGAGAGUUAAAUAGUACGUGAAAUUGUUAAAAGGGAAACGAUUGAGACCAGUGAUGUAGUGCAUGCUUAAGCUUACCCUUUGGGGGAAGUGUAUGUGUGCAUUGCAAGUCGACGCCUCUUUUAAGUUCUGGAGAAGACAGAUGGAAAGGUGGCUCUACCUUUACGGGUAGUUGCUUUAUAGUCCAACUGGGAUACAGAACUCUCUGAGAGAGGUACAUAUCAAGGGCGCAAGCUCACGUCGACAAAAUGGUCUUAAACGACCCGUCUUGAAACACGG